CUGGGUUUAAUACCGUAUACGCCCUUCGGGGGAAAGAAUUUCGGUGAGGGAUCGGCCCGCGUUAGAUUAGUUAGUUGGUGGGGUAAUGGCCUACCAAGACUACGAUCUAUAGCUGGUUUGAGAGGAUGAUCAGCAACACUGGGACUGAGACACGGCCCAGACUCCUACGGGAGGCAGCAGUGGGGAAUCUUAGACAAUGGGGGCAACCCUGAUCUAGCGAUGCCGCGUGAGUGAUGAAGGCCUUAGGGUCGUAAAGCUCUUUCGCCUGUGAUGAUAAUGACAGUAGCAGGUAAAGAAACCCCGGCUAACUCCGUGCCAGCAGCCGCGGUAAUACGGAGGGGGUUAGCGUUGUUCGGAAUUACUGGGCGUAAAGCGCACGUAGGCGGAUUAGUCAGUCAGAGGUGAAAUCCCAGGGCUCAACCCUGGAACUGCCUUUGAUACUGCUAGUCUUGAGUUCGAGAGAGGUAAGUGGAAUUCCGAGUGUAGAGGUGAAAUUCGUAGAUAUUCGGAGGAACACCAGUGGCGAAGGCGGCUUACUGGCUCUAUACUGACGCUGAGGUGCGAA
Molecule: ribosomal RNA, 565 nt
Filed under: Celeribacter sp.
Lineage: Bacteria; Pseudomonadati; Pseudomonadota; Alphaproteobacteria; Rhodobacterales; Roseobacteraceae
Description: bacterial SSU rRNA
Rfam family: Bacterial small subunit ribosomal RNA
Source: RNAcentral